GGCGAACGCUGGCGGCGUGCUUAACACAUGCAAGUCGAACGAUGAAGCUGGAGCUUGCUCCGGUGGAUUAGUGGCGAACGGGUGAGUAACACGUGAGCAAUCUGCCCUUGACUCUGGGAUAACUGCGGGAAGCUGUAGCUAAUACCGGAUACUUUCACUGGAAGGCAUCUUCUGGUGAAGAAAGAAUUUCGGUCAAGGAUGAGCUCGCGGCCUAUCAGCUUGUUGGUGAGGUAACGGCUCACCAAGGCGACGACGGGUAGCCGGCCUGAGAGGGUGACCGGCCACACUGGGACUGAGACACGGCCCAGACUCCUACGGGAGGCAGCAGUGGGGAAUAUUGCACAAUGGGCGCAAGCCUGAUGCAGCAACGCCGCGUGAGGGAUGAAGGCCUUCGGGUUGUAAACCUCUUUUAGCAGGGAAGAAGCGGAAGUGACGGUACCUGCAGAAAAAGCACCGGCUAACUACGUGCCAGCCGCCGCCGUAA
Molecule: ribosomal RNA, 484 nt
Filed under: uncultured bacterium
Lineage: Bacteria
Description: partial 16S ribosomal RNA
Rfam family: Bacterial small subunit ribosomal RNA
Source: RNAcentral